UCCCAGACUCCUACGGGAGGCAGCAGUGGGGAAUAUUGGGCAAUGGGCGAAAGCCUGACCCAGCAACGCCGCGUGAAGGAAGAAGGCUUUCGGGUUGUAAACUUCUUUUGACAGGGAAGAGCAGAAGACGGUACCUGUCGAAUAAGCCACGGCUAACUACGUGCCAGCAGCCGCGGUAAUACGUAGGUGGCAAGCGUUGUCCGGGUUUACUGGGUGUAAAGGGCGUGUAGCCGGGCCGGCAAGUCAGAUGUGAAAUCCCAAGGCUCAACCUUGGAACUGCAUUUGAAACUGCUGGUCUUGAGUAUCGGAGAGGCAGGCGGAAUUCCUAGUGUAGCGGUGAAAUGCGUAGAUAUACGGAGGAACACCAGUGGCGAAGGCGGAUUGCUGGACAGUAACUGACGCUGAGGCGCGAAAGCGUGGGGAGCAAACAGGAUUAGAUACCCGCGUACCU
RNAcentral lists this ribosomal RNA (451 nucleotides) under uncultured bacterium. Its description in RNAcentral is "bacterial SSU rRNA". It matches the Rfam family "Bacterial small subunit ribosomal RNA", at positions 329 to 795 of the family's 1533-position model. The record is from RNAcentral.